UGCCGGGUCGUCCAGUGGUAAGACGCCUGACUCUGAAUCAGGUAACGGGGGUUCGACUCCCUCCCCGGCAACCA
Molecule: transfer RNA, 74 nt
Filed under: Candidatus Moranbacteria bacterium CG_4_9_14_3_um_filter_36_9
Lineage: Bacteria; Candidatus Moraniibacteriota
Also listed under: 1 other name
Description: tRNA-Gln
Rfam family: tRNA
About the family: Transfer RNA (tRNA) molecules are approximately 80 nucleotides in length. Their secondary structure includes four short double-helical elements and three loops (D, anti-codon, and T loops).
Source: RNAcentral